Molecule: ribosomal RNA, 403 nt
Filed under: uncultured bacterium
Lineage: Bacteria
Description: bacterial SSU rRNA
Rfam family: Bacterial small subunit ribosomal RNA
Source: RNAcentral
UCGGGAAUAUUGCGCAAUGGAGGAAACUCUGACGCAGUGACGCCGCGUGCAGGAAGAAGGUUUUCGGAUUGUAAACUGCUUUAGACAGGGAAGAAAAAGGACAGUACCUGUAGAAUAAGCUCCGGCUAACUACGUGCCAGCAGCCGCGGUAAUACGUAGGGAGCAAGCGUUAUCCGGAAUCAUUGGGCGUAAAGCGUUCGUAGGCGGUAUGUCAAGUCUGGUGUUAAAGCCCGAGGCUCAACCUCGGUUCGGCAUUGGAUACUGGCAAACUAGAAUGUGGUAGAGGUAAAGGGAAUUCCUGGUGUAGCGGUGAAAUGCGUAGAUAUCAGGAGGAACAUCGGUGGCGAAAGCGCUUUACUGGACCAUUAUUGACGCUGAGGAACGAAAGCCAAGGGAGCAAAUG